AACCACUGCUGCCCCGGCUACAAUUGUGCAGCCACCAUCAGUUGGCUACUUGUCAGAGCCCAGAACCACUCUUGCCCCAGCUCCAGGCCAGCCAAGUGCAGUGGACUGCUUGUCAGAGCCUAGUACCAGUUGCACACAAGUGCAGAGCACUUCAAGGGCUUGGACACCAGAGCCAGUGCCUGAAGAUGGCUUAUGCAACGAGAUGCCAGGCAUGGUGCCAAGUGACUUCG
Dermacentor albipictus is the source of this 230-nucleotide non-coding RNA. The record is from RefSeq and is a predicted model, not a curated record. Lineage: Eukaryota; Metazoa; Arthropoda; Arachnida; Ixodida; Ixodidae.